AGAAGAGAGAAGGAAGAGCAAGAGAGAAGGAGGAGAGCUAGGGCAAGGAAUUUCUUGGAGAUUCAAGAGCCAAGAUCCGAGAAUCGUCGAGCUAAGGUUUACAGGUUAUGUAUUUGUUGAUGCACAAGUGUUUGGUGAAGCUCCGCUCUGAGUGUGACACGGUGAAAGGGUUGUAUUUAGGAUAUAGGGUCCUUUAUGACUUAAUGUAUUUAUUUCGGAAAAUGUAUAUUUUAUAAAGAAUGAUUUUAUAGUUAAUGUUUAGGCUAAUUAAUCAAUUAGUUAAGUAUGUUGUUGAUUGUAAUACCUUUAACCAAACGUUUUAUAAUUAAAUUGUGAAUUUUCCGUUGCGUA
Trifolium pratense (red clover) is the source of this 351-nucleotide long non-coding RNA. RefSeq lists it as uncharacterized. NCBI's taxonomy places the organism in Eukaryota, Viridiplantae, Streptophyta, Magnoliopsida, Fabales, Fabaceae. The transcript is spliced from 2 exons. The record is from RefSeq and is a predicted model, not a curated record.